Molecule: long non-coding RNA, 1118 nt
Organism: Hippoglossus stenolepis (Pacific halibut)
Lineage: Eukaryota; Metazoa; Chordata; Actinopteri; Pleuronectiformes; Pleuronectidae
Exons: 2
Source: RefSeq, a predicted model, not a curated record
UGCACAGAUGAGAGAGCAGGAACACGAUAAGCGCUGUUCGGUUGCUUGACAGUUCCUACACAUGUUUUAAUGAUUUAUGAGAAUCCAGAAGUUUAAAUAUUUUCUCAGGGAAACCAGAGAUUUACUGUUUGCAUAUGGGCCAACUAUCCGCGAGCCUCCCAACAUCCGUCUUGUGGAUCCGUCUAAAGCUGCCAGAAGAAUCAAGAAUGCUCUCUUAUAAAACAUCUCAUAUACAACGUGUUCUCCCCCCCAGUAUUCCUCCAUCCUUACAUCCCCCUCUCAUCCCAGACAGUCCUCCAACAAAUCUCUCUCCCCUUUCCUUUGCCAGCAAUCACACUCUAUUGCCUGUAAUGAGGGACACAGUGAAGCAGAGCAAAGCAGGAAAACAGGAAUCUCCCACUGGAAAACAGUGGGAGUUGCAUGUCCCAUAAACCUCAAAUCCUGAGAAAACGUCAACAAAUUCCUGCAAACAUCAUUCACUUCCUCCCACCCCCCUCCGCUCACUUUGGACUGGACCGUUUUCAGCAGCAGCACCGCCUCUUUGUACUUGCUGGCAGCGUCCCGGAAUUGUCCCUGCUUGACCAGCGCGUUGCCCUGCAUGUGGAGAAUUGGCACCAUCUCCAGCUUCUCAUCCUUUUCCAUCAUCCACGACUCUCGGUGGUAGGACAUGGGGUCUCCGACCUGGAAGCGGCAGGGGCAGGAGCGGAGCACGACAGAGCCAAAAAGGUCAAAAGGAGAAAAACUCCACUGAUUGAAAGAAAGGAUUGUUGUUGUGGGGGAAACACACAGAGUACUCCGACUCGAGGAAUGCACUUGAAAGCAGUUUUGAGAAGUUGUUCAACUCACAACGGCAUCGCACCAGAACUCCGCCACCUCUUCAACCCUCAUGGACAUCAGCAGGGUCUCCCAGAUCUCCAUCUUGAACAUCUUUCCCACAAAGAUCUCAGCGGGCCUGCCUGCCAGUCGACUGUCAUCAAUGACCGUCCGCUCAAAGUCGUCCAACAGCGUCUGGAAGUGGAACACCAGCUUGGAGGGGAGGAGGGAAGAUUCACAGAAUGGGGAUUAAUGAUUAAUGAUUUUGUUUAAAAAAUACAUUUGGAAUAAAAAAUCUGACAUGA